Molecule: long non-coding RNA, 4335 nt
Filed under: Homo sapiens (human)
Lineage: Eukaryota; Metazoa; Chordata; Mammalia; Primates; Hominidae
Description: non-protein coding lnc-SNX19-5:1
Source: RNAcentral
UUUUCCUAAGUAGAAAUCAGCCCUUACAUCAUUCCUCGCUGCCGAGACCUUCUCCUUCCCGCCACCUCCUUCCUUCCCUGCUGUAGCGCUCAAGGCCUCAUAAGCAGGGUCAUUCCGGUGAUCAGCUGUUUUGCGUAUUUCAAUGUAUUGUCCAAAUCGGGAACUUCUGAAAAUGAAAGAAGGCUCUAGUUGUGGGUACACAGGACAGUGGGCUUAAACCUGAGCUGUCCCCAGUGCUAGCCUAAUCUCCACAAAGCACAACUCUGUGGAAUUCCCAGCUUGUCCUGAAUCUACAACUGUUCACCUUUCCCUGGCCUCCACUUUUGCAAUAUAUGGCCAUUAAGCAACCCCAGCUAUAUAAAAACUCCUUGAGUUUAGAGGUAAUUUUGUUAGCACCAAAUAGUGACAAUUGCAUAAAAAUAUAACUUCUUCCUCCCUCAAUCCCACAUCACUAGUACCAGGCACGUUGCAUGGACUCAAUAAAGCAUACUCUGGGUAACGUGUGGAACCAGCAAAGCCUGAUCCCCUGUAAGAAUGGCUAUAGCAAAGACGCAAAUAAAAAGCUGUGGGGAGAAGGAAAUAAUUAAUGCUUCCUAGAGAACCCAGGAAAAUAUCACAGAAUUUGAAAGUCUAGAGCUGGAUCUUGAGAGAUGAAUAGGUGUUUGCCAGAUGGGAAACCAAGGGAGGCCCUUCCAGGUCAAGAGAACAGCGUGUGCAAGAAAGGGUAAGACUAGGAGCAAGAUGAGGGGCUAAAUUUUCAUAGCCAGUGGCCCAGAGAAGCUGAAGCUAAGGGCAGUUUGGAUUAGGGGUCAUGAGAUGGAAUAAGAGAGAAAACACAGAGUCUUAAGGAGUCAGAGACAGGAGCAAGAUGGCUGCAGGUGGGUAAGGCACCCUGGAUGACAGCCCAGUGAGACUGUGCAAAGCAGGCCUUCAGCCUCUGUGGAACCUGACUGCAGGUGCAUUCCAUGACCCCCCAGGUGUGCCCCAUCCCUGAGCUCCUCCAGCAGUAUAAAAUACCUCCAGGUCACAACUGUCCUUAGAAGCAGAGGUUCACAGAACAAGCAUUUCAGUAGUCCCUAAUCUACACCAAGCAUUCAUUACACCUCGGCUCCCAAAGUGCUGGGACUAUAGGUGAGACUCCGCGCUUGGCCUUGUUUUCUCUACUUUGUAUACUGUCUUCUCCACUGGUGCUUGCCCUCCUUGCCUCCUAAAUGCAUUGAGUCUCUCUUUUCUAAAAUAAGAGAGGAAAGAAGGAGAAGUCACGGUCAUCAACAUCUGUGGGCCUUGUUUCCUCAGUGGCACUAUGGUUUUCCCUCUUGUAAGAGUAGCUUUUACUUCCAGUUUCCAUUUCUUACCGAAUGAUCUCUGUGACAAACACUGAGUGGCCACCCAGCCUCCCCCUGUUCCUUCCUGACAGGAUUCCUAACUGGUUCAGGAUUCAGGUAUCAGGUAUCCAUCUGCUUCAAGGCAGACUGGUUCCUCCCAGGCCCAGGCAUGAAUCUUGUUUCUUUAAGCGAGCAAUUCCCAAACUUUUUGGUCUCAGGACUUCAACUCUUCAGAAUACCCUCUUCAAUGACCUUUUGUUUAUAUGGGUUAUUUCUAUUUAUACUUACCAUUUUAGAAUUCAAAAUUCAGAAUUUAAAAAAAAAUUGUAAAUUCAUUUUAAACGAACAAUAAUAAGCCCAGUACAUGUUAACAUAAAUAAUACAUUUUUAAUGAAGUUAGCUAAUUGUGGAUAUUCUUCUUUGAUAUUCCAAAACUUGACAAGUGGUAAUUUAGCUUAGUUGCAAUGUGGAAUCUUAAACCAAGUCCAUGAACUUUUCACAGAUACUGAUUUUUCCAAAAUUCCAAUUUUCACUUGAAAACUCAAAUUUUAUUAUUGUCAACAAACACUGUUGGUUGUUUUCCUUGAAGUGACUCACUUCAUUCAUUUUUGGGAAAAUGUCUGCCAAAUACCCACGUCUGAAUAAUCAUAGUUUCUCUGUUGUUCUUUCAAGUAAAAAUGGUGUUCUGUGGAAACAUUAAAUACUUCGGACUUCUGGAACAGCAGGAGUGGUCUUGCAACCAUGAGGGGAAAGCCAAGACAAUCACAGAGAAGUGAAUCCUGCAGCUUGGGCAUAACUUUGAACCAGUGAAUUAGUCAAAGUGACCACACCCCGUCUCUGAAAUCCUUGUUCUGUGAGAUAAAUAUCUUCUUGACUGAGCCAUUUUUAGCUGAUUUCCUUUUAUUCGAGUUGAUACAGUCUUUGCCGUUGCGGAGGCUGCAAUCUACCUGGGUUGAAUAUUAGCAAAUACCUUGUUAUGUAGAUCCAGUCUUUCCAGCCAAAAUAUAAACUCCUUGAGAGAAGAGUUUCUUUAUUACUAUUUUUUUAUUAUUAUACUUUAAGUUCGCGUAAUUGCUUUAUGCAUGAUAAACAAAGGCAGUAGAAAUCAGGAUAAGAGUGAUCCCCUUAACUUCAGCAAAUGUCCCUGUAAUCUGAUGCCCUCGUUUUGCUCUAUGAUCUUGCUGCCAAAUCUUGGGUGAGUGUCCUUCAUUCUGUAAGACACAUUCUUUUCCUUAUGAGUCCCCAUCACUUAUGUCAUCUUUCACAAACCUUUUCCAGAUCAUUUGUUUCAUAAAAUAUUACUUAGUGUCUGACCUAUCUUCCACAUCCCCAACCUCCACACUAAAAUAUCAGGCAAGCAUACAUAUAAAAAGGUUACAAUAAUAAUAUAAUAAGUUUAGUUAUUACAUAUAUAAAUAAUGAGUAUUAAGGCAUAGACUGAAUUAGCCACAAACAUAUCUUGGAAGACAGAUCUACAAACCCAUUUAUCUCACCCUCAACCAUGGGCAUUUGAUUUUCUUUCUUGAAUAAAUAUGUGAAAUUAAGGUGAUUUUGUUUCAUAUUUAGCCUCUGGAAAUUUUCCUUGAAUGUCUUUCACUAUGUUCAUUGAAUCUUGGAUAGAGUCAAAAACUUCCUUUCAUCUCCAUUUCUAAUCAAUUGCCUUACAUCUGAAAUCUGACAUUUACUGGUCGUGUGACUUGGGCAAUUAACUUGGCUGCUUUGUGCCUUAGUUUCUCCAUUUUUAAAAUAAAAAUUGUAAUAUAGCCUAUCUUAAACAGUAGUUAUAAAAAUUAAAGAAUUAAAAAACAUGCACUUCAGAAAAUGCCUGACACAUUUUAAGAGCUCAAGAAGAAUUAGCUAUCAUUACAUUCUUACCAUUAGCAGCAUCAUCGUUACUUUGCCUAAAUGCACUGAUUCUGCACCCUUUUCUAUAGGACGAUCAUCUCCCCAUCUCCCAGCUUCUGGCAAGCACCACAGAGCUAUUUGCAGUUGCCAUUACUUCCUUUUCUACCCUUGAGACACAUGAAAAAGUUGCAGAAAAAUAACAAGAGCGUAUACAAUUUUCAAGAAAGAAGAGGACUUAGGGCUUUUUUCUGGUGGUUUUCCUCAUGUCUACUUUCUUGUUCUAUUUAUUUUCUGUCCUUGACCCUAUUAUCCUCUUUUGGAUUCUCCCACUUCUUCUGCCUUCCCCAAUCUUCAAGUGUUUCUCUACACCUGUCUCCAUACUUGAGUUUCACUCUAUUUGUAUUGUAAGAGCAUUUAAGGGAAGAACAAAUUUAUCCUUGUCAUUCUUAUUGACUCUGUGGUCAGAGUUGGAAUCUCAAGCAAUUGAUUUUUGUUUGUGUAUCAUUUUGAUAUACUGUGGUUCAGUAAUUUUCCAGAAGGGCAAAGGUCCUAUGGCAGAUGGUGGGUGUCCCCUGUGUGAUCAAACACCAGAUCAACUCUUAUAUUUCAGAAAUUAACAAUUCCCACAUGAACACUUUGGAAAACAAAAAGAAUACAUUAUCAUUUCCCUUGGCAAAGGGCCAGGCUGAUCUUCCACCUAUUAAAACCCUGAAGACAGCCCAAUGGAUAAGGGUCUAAAAAGAAGGAUCAAAAGUUCUCGAUUAAUAAAUUGUCAUAUCCAAACUCUUACUGCCAAUAAUGAUGCCCUUUCCAUCCAAGGCCAGCAGCCUAUCGAAGUUUUCUUUCCCACUUACAGACACAGAUACAUCUGGGGAUCUUUCCAUGUUUAACUUUUCUGGAACCUCUUAGUUUAUCUCACAUUCCCAUCUCCGCUCUUCUGCUUUGGUUAUAUAUUUUUGGGGGUUGUUUGUUUACCAUUUUUAUUGCCAAACUCACUUUCAAAACCCAUCUUAAAAGUUAUUUUUCUUGUUGACUCUUGCUCAUCCCCUCCCACUCCCAGAACUGGUCUCAUCUGGAAUUUAGGCCAGUUAAAGACACCAGAGAACUUGUGCAUAGGGUGAGUGUGUCCGCCAUCACCCAAAUCUGAAUACAUUUGAAACUGAAG